Molecule: long non-coding RNA, 1730 nt
Filed under: Macaca fascicularis (crab-eating macaque)
Lineage: Eukaryota; Metazoa; Chordata; Mammalia; Primates; Cercopithecidae
Description: lncRNA (ENSMFAG00000051459.1)
Source: RNAcentral
UUUUUUUUUUUUUUUUUUGAGACAGAUUGUUGCUCUGCUGCCCAGGCUGGAGUGCAGUGGUGCGACCUCUGCUCACUGCAACCUCCGUCUCCCGGGUUCAGGUGGUUCUCCUGCCUCACCUCCCGAGCAGCUGGGAUUACAGGCAUGUACCAGCACACCUGGCUAAUUUUGUAUUUUUAGUAAAGACAGGGGUUCACCAGGUUGGCCAGGUUGGUCUCGAACUCCUGACCUCAAGUGAUUCGCCUGCCUUGGCCUCCCAGAGUGCUGGGAUUACAGGCAUGAGCCACUGCGCCCGGCAACAAGAGUUGUUUAAAUGGCACUUAUUUGUGGAAGAGACCAAGGCAAAUAUCCCACACAUCUGGAUUUGUCUGCCUGCUUCCUCAGAGUUUAGCAUGUCCCUUUAUCCCCUGUAUUUCCUAUUAACUCAAAUUACCAAGAUAGUCUCCGAUUUUGAGACAUUUAGGUAUUUUCAAAUUCCCCUACUUCAGGGUUGUGGAGAACAUUCUUGUAUCUUUUUCCUGGUGCAAGUGGAAAGACUUUCUCUAGCGUAUACCAGGAAGCGCUCAGGGUAAGUUCUUCAACUCCGUUAGAUGUGCCAAAUUGCCCUCCAGAUUAACUGUAUUGAUCUGUACCCCCAUCGGGUCACAUUGGAGACCCCAUUUUCAGACCAUAGCCAACAUUUGGUACUGUCCUCCGUUAAUUUCUGCCAUCCCUGAUGGUUGAAAAAUGCAUCUUCUUACGCUCACUUUCCCUUUCAUGACUUGCAGUGCGGUUGGGCAUCUUCACUUAUGGGUGUUGACCUCCCAGGCUAAGGAAGGAGACUGAGACAGCAGAAUCCACGGGAUUCAGGAAGUGCUUAGAGAUGGUACCAACUGGUUUUAUUAAAAGGGAAAGUGUUUGCCCAGGCGCGGUGGCUCACGCUUGUAAUCCCAGCACUUUGGGAGGCCGAGGCAGGCGGAUCAUGAGGUCAAGAGAUGGAGACCAUCCUGGCCAACGUGAUGAAACCUCUAAAACCGCUACUAAAAAUACAAAAAUUAGCUAGGCAUGGUGGCGCACACCUGUAGUCCCAGUUACUGGGGAGGCUGAGGCAGGAGAAUCACUUGAACUUGGGAGGCGGAGGUUGCAGUGAGGUGAGAUCACACCACUGCACUCCAGCCUAGUGACAGAGAGACUCCAUCUAAAAACAAAAAAGGGAAACUGUUGCCAGGUGUGGUGGUGCACAUCUGGAAUCCCAGCUACUCAGGAGGCUGAGGUGGGAGGACUGCUUGAGCUCCAGAGUUUGAGUCCAGCCUGGGCAACAUAAUGACACCAUCUCAAAAAACCACAAAAAAUAAGCAGGGGGUAGAGUGCAAAAUAGCAUACUUUUCUAUAUCCACAACAAAUGGCCUUCAGAUGUUAAAUGUUUUAUUGGUUUUCGUUCUAAUGUGUUUUCUGUUAUUUUUAUUUUUAUUUUUUAGUAGAGAUGGGGUUUCACCACAUUGCUCAGGCUGGUCUCCAACUCCUAACCUCAAAUGAUCCACCCACCUUGGCCUCCCAAAAUGCUGAUAUUACAGGUGUGAACCACUGUGCCUGGCCUGUUUUUUGUUUUUUGAUUUUUUUUUUUUUUUUGAGAUGGAGUCUGGCUCUGUUGCCCAGGCUGGAGUGCAGUGGCACGAUCUGGGCUCACUGAAACCUCCGCCUCCCAGAUUCACACCAUUCACUCAGCCUCCCAAGUAGCUGGGACUACAGGC